GAUAAUCCAUCGAAAGGCGGACUAAUACCGCGUGUGGUGGUGGGGGUCAUGCCUCAUCACUAAAGCCUUCGGGCGCUUGGGGAUGGGCUUGCGUCCUAUUAGCUAGUUGGUAGGGUAAUGGCCUACCAAGGCGAUGAUGGGUAGCUGGUUUGAGAGGACGGCCAGCCACACUGGGACUGAGACACGGCCCAGACUCCUACGGGAGGCAGCAGCAAGGAAUAUUGUGCAAUGGGCGAAAGCCUGACACAGCGACGCCGCGUGGGGGAAGAAAGCCUUCGGGUUGUAAACCCCUUUUCUCGGGGAAGAAUAAUGACGGUACCCGAGGAAUAAGUCUCGGCUAACUACGUGCCAGCAGCCGCGGUAAUACGUAGGAGGCGAGCGUUAUCCGGAUUCACUGGGCGUAAAGCGGGCGCAGGCGGCUCUUCAAGUCGGAUGUGAAAUUUCCCGGCUUAACCGGGAGGGGCCAUUCGAUACUGUUGGGCUAGAGUGCAGUAGAGGGAGGUGGAAUUCCCGGUGUAGUGGUGAAAUGCGUAGAUAUCGGGAGGAACACCAGUGGCGAAGGCGGCCUCCUGGGCUGUUACUGACGCUGAGGCCCGAAAGCGUGGGGAGCGAACAGGAUUAGAUACCCUGGUAGUCCACGCCCUAAACUGUGGACACUAGGUAUGGGGAGUAUCGACCCUCCCCGUGCCGUAGCUAACGUGUUAAGUGUCCCGCCUGGGGACUACGGCCGCAAGGCUAAAACUCAAAGGAAUUGACGG
Molecule: ribosomal RNA, 758 nt
Filed under: uncultured Chloroflexota bacterium
Lineage: Bacteria; Bacillati; Chloroflexota
Description: bacterial SSU rRNA
Rfam family: Bacterial small subunit ribosomal RNA
Source: RNAcentral